RNAcentral lists this ribosomal RNA (497 nucleotides) under uncultured bacterium. RNAcentral describes it as "partial 16S ribosomal RNA". It matches the Rfam family "Bacterial small subunit ribosomal RNA", at positions 28 to 507 of the family's 1533-position model. The record is from RNAcentral.
GAUGAACGCUGGCGGCGUGCCUAAUACAUGCAAGUCGAGCGAACAGACGAGGAGCUUGCUCCUCUGACGUUAGCGGCGGACGGGUGAGUAACACGUGGAUAACCUACCUAUAAGACUGGGAUAACUUCGGGAAACCGGAGCUAAUGCCGGAUAAUAUAUUGAACCGCAUGGUUCAAUAGUGAAAGACGGUUUUGCUGUCACUUAUAGAUGGAUCCGCGCCGCAUUAGCUAGUUGGUAAGGUAACGGCUUACCAAGGCAACGAUGCGUAGCCGACCUGAGAGGGUGAUCGGCCACACUGGAACUGAGACACGGUCCAGACUCCUACGGGAGGCAGCAGUAGGGAAUCUUCCGCAAUGGGCGAAAGCCUGACGGAGCAACGCCGCGUGAGUGAUGAAGGUCUUUGGAUCGUAAAACUCUGUUAUUAGGGAAGAACAAAUGUGUAAGUAACUAUGCACGUCUUGACGGUACCUAAUCAGAAAGCCACGGCUAACUACGUG